CCCGACCCACCGCCACACUCCCCGCAAACCCAAAUCCAUGCACCUAAGAGUGAAUAUUAAGGAACACAUGGUUUGCCCAAUAAAUUUGGUUAGGCUCAUGGACAUUGAAAAAGUAACCAAGAAAAAGACAAACUCCAAAAAGAAAAAUCUGAUAAUGCAAACUGUGUUGAAGCCUUGAUCUUGAGGAUGUGCUGUCCCUACCGCUCAUCUCAGCUACAAGGCUUUACUUCUUUGUUUUCAAUCUUGUGGAGGAAGAGAAUAUGAACCCACAACACUGAAAGUGACAUUUGAAAAGAGAAAGUUUUCAUUUUUACAGGUUUGAAGUUACACAGUGGUGGGGGAGGAAGCCCCACAGCUCAUAACAUUAUUAGCAGAAAUUAACCAUCUGGAAUUCUGGGUUUCCUUUUUGCUUGCUCCUUUUGGUCUCUCUGCAUUCCAGGUUGGAGUUUAACCACUAAAGUUAGAACCUUUGAGUUUUUUUCUCUUAAAUUUUAAAGAAAGUUUCAAUUUUUAGCUUGAAUUUUAUGUUGCUUUGAGAGUUUGGUCUUGAAUUUGUGUUUUUUUUUCAUGUACGAGUUUUGGGUUUUGAUUUUUGGGUUCCUAUUUGGAAUAUGUGAAAAUGGGUUUGCUUUUUUUUUUUUCAUGAUGAGGUACCGAAGGGCCAAGCAAAUUGCAAAGGUUUGAAUGUUGGUUUUGUUUCAUCUCAUUUAUUCAUAUCAAAGAUUUCUAGUGUUGUUCUACAGAUUUUAGAGGAAAGUUGGUCAUGAUAGAGUCAAGGAUUUGGAGCAAAUCUACUGUGCUUGAAAUCUGGAAUUGGACAGAAACUACUAUAGUUUGGGACUUUGGGAUCUUACAGCUCUUGCAAUUUUGGGGUGUGAAAAAGAUGAAGAAGUGAUGAAGAUGAAAGUGUAUUUCUGUAAUCAUUUGAAAUCACCUAGGGUGUGAAGGUAUGAAGAAGAUGAAGAAGUGAUGAAGAUGAAUGUGUAUUUCUCUAUUUCGAUGUGAUUUGAAGAUGGAGAAGAUCUGGAUUUGAUGAAAGAUAAAAUUAGAAAUUAUGUGUUUUUGUUUUAUUUUUUAAUUAAUAAGAGAAAGAAUGUUACAUUUCUACCCUUUUUCAUCCAUUCAAUCCUAACCGUUCAAUUAAAGAAUAUUCUAAGAUUCCUUAAUCUAACGGUGCUUAAACAUAGUGCAUCGGUGGACCAAAAAAAAAAACUUGUCCACCCUAGUGGGCACCUGAAAACAUAGUUUCUCUGAAAAUUCCUCUCAUGGGCAACAUCGUCGCCACUGUUGCCGCCGCUCUUACGCCUUUGAACUCGCCGUCGAUCCUGCUCCACUGUUGCCUCUUGCGCUUCUUUCUUCGUUAUCGUAAAUUUUCCCCUUCCCUCUCUAUAUUCGCACAUCUCUGUAUCUCACCCCGAACCCUCACCGUUCUUGCACCCAAACCCUAACCCACACCAUCCUCCAUUCAUCUGGUCGCCGAGCAGUGACAAGACGAAGUUGCGAAACCCUCACCGUGCGAAACCCUUAAUCUCUCCCUUUCUCUUCAACUAAUUUUAUACAUGAUUCUUCCAAAUCGAAAGGACAUGAAAUGGACCAGAAUUGGGACGGCAGUUCAUUAUAGAAACCGAAAGCAUGUUUUUGAAAGAGUAGGCGCGAGAAGCCUAGCUUCUGCACCAAAUUAGCCUGUAUCAUUAAGCAUGGAGGUGGACAGGUGUUCAAACCUCUUCAAUGGUUAGUACGGAGCACUGAUGAACAUAGGACUUCGGUUGGAGUUAUUGUCAUUGAAGAUAAGGCUACAAUAUCACGUCAUCUGAAGCACUGCGCUCUGGAGCGGGCUAUUCCUACUAUGGUAAGUAGUAAGUACACAACUUACAUUUUACUUUUAUUAUAGGUGCUCAGUAUAUGUGCCUUGUGAAAGAAGAAAGUUAUUGAUUCUGCAUCAACAUGCUCAAGCAUCUACCAUAUUUGUUUGUCAAGUUAUAGAAGGUGGGAGAUGAGGGGAGUUAAUAAUACUCUUCAAUCUUUACACUGAUAUUCAAAGAUUUAAUUCCUCUCAUGCUCUCAAAUAAUAUGCUUGCUCUCUAUCUCUCUCUUUGUGGGUGUUUCAGUGUAAUCCGAAGUGUGUAUUGAUUAUCUUUUGCAGCCUUGUAGCUGGAUCAUUGAGAGCUUAUAUUUAGGAAAGUUGAUUCAUUUAUUGCUUAUUGUGUUUGUGUGUUAACAUAGAUG
Molecule: long non-coding RNA, 2226 nt
Organism: Lotus japonicus
Lineage: Eukaryota; Viridiplantae; Streptophyta; Magnoliopsida; Fabales; Fabaceae
Exons: 3
Source: RefSeq, a predicted model, not a curated record